This is a non-coding RNA of Otolemur garnettii (small-eared galago), 280 nucleotides long. The record is from Rfam. NCBI's taxonomy places the organism in Eukaryota, Metazoa, Chordata, Mammalia, Primates, Galagidae.
GCCCUAUGGACACACCUUUUGUCCCAGCUACUUGGGAGGCUGAGGUGGGAGGAUCGCUGGAGCCCGGAAGUUCUGGGUUGUAGUGUGCUAUGCCAUGAGUGUCCACACUAAGCUCUGCAUCAGUAUGGAAACAGGGGUCACCAGGUUGCCUAAGGAGGGGGGAACUGGUCCAGGUCAGAAACUGAGCAGGGCAAAACUCCUGUGCUGAUCAGUAGUGGUAUCAUGACUGUGAAUUAGCCAAGGCCAUCAGUCUGAGCAACAUAGUGAAAUCUUGUCUCUA